This is a long non-coding RNA of Eurytemora carolleeae, 215 nucleotides long. RefSeq lists it as uncharacterized. The transcript has 3 exons. NCBI's taxonomy places the organism in Eukaryota, Metazoa, Arthropoda, Copepoda, Calanoida, Temoridae. The record is from RefSeq and is a predicted model, not a curated record.
UGAGGCGAGUAAUUACAUGAAUUUAGGAAAUAUUAAAAUGCAUGGGUUACUUGCCAAGAAUAGACUUGAACCUGAUGAAAUAGAUUUUCCAGUGGACGAGAAUAUGCUGGAGAAACCCAGGAUACGAAACAGUCUUCUAGAGUUUGAGUUGGACUACGGCCGAUCUCUAGGACUUGAUCCUUUGUCUCUGCACAGUAGCGCUGAUUCAAUUCGAG